Molecule: ribosomal RNA, 253 nt
Filed under: uncultured bacterium
Lineage: Bacteria
Description: partial 16S ribosomal RNA
Rfam family: Bacterial small subunit ribosomal RNA
Source: RNAcentral
UACGGAGGGUGCAAGCGUUAUCCGGAUUCACUGGGCUUAAAGGGUGCGUAGGCGGGCAGGUAAGUCAGUGGUGAAAUCUUUGGGCUUAACCCGAAAACUGCCAUUGAUACUAUCUGUCUUGAAUGUUGUGGAGGUGAGCGGAAUAUGUCAUGUAGCGGUGAAAUGCUUAGAUAUGACAUAGAACAUCGAUUGCGAAGGCAGCUCGCUGGGCAAAUAUUGACACUGAGGCACGAAAGCGUGGGGAUCAAACAGG